Molecule: non-coding RNA, 1096 nt
Organism: Paramuricea clavata
Lineage: Eukaryota; Metazoa; Cnidaria; Anthozoa; Malacalcyonacea; Plexauridae
Source: the annotation of a GenBank genome assembly
AUAAUAUUAAAAUGAACAAAGUUCAAAUUCUUCAAAAUGCUGUUGUUGACAUUUGCUAUUUUUAGUAAUUUUGUCAACGAGUGUAAGCCAAUCAGAAGCCUGCGUUUCUAUACGAACGCCACUACCAAGAAAACCUAUAGUUCCGUGCAGGCCCUCUAUUCUUCGCGCCGCCCGCAACCCAGGGCCUGUUCGCAGGCUAGGCCGCCAUCUAUUCAAAUUGGGGUAAUCGCUGGAAUAUUCUUGGCUUCAAUUUUACUAAAAGAGAUGCGCUAUAUCUAGUGUAUAUAAGAUGUCUAUGGUACAUAGCAAGUAACCGUUAAUUCGUUUCUUCUAAUGAACAAAGAGAGAUGAGAAAUAACAUAUUCAGAGAAAAAUUCAUCGAUUCAUACGUUUAUUAUCAAUAUCAUGAAUAGUUUACAUAUGCUGGAAGAUAUUAAUUCCUAGACAUUUGUCUCUUUCUCUUCACGCAGCCUGCCGUUGUAAAUCUGCACGGGCGUUGUGUACCAUCAUAAGUUUUCUUCCAUUCUUUCAUCAGAUUCUCCUUUCCUUUUUCUCUUGUAAAGACUUCAUCGUUGAAAUCCACACCAUUCUUCUCUUCCUCACGGAGCCAUAUCCAUUUCGGCUUCGCCAAGCACAGGGUCAUGGUAGAUAACAUAAGCAAGACGACCAAGAAAUUCUUCAUGACUUUUGCAGGAGUUCAGUUUCUCGAACACGUCUCACGCGCUUCUUCAACUCUUCAACACCAACUUUGUAUUUAGCAGAAUGUUAAUUUUACUGUUCACUUUUGAGCAGAAUGAAAUGUUGAGUUUUCAGCCUGGCUUUUAUAGAGCAGCAUAUUUGCCUUGCAAAGACCUGCAGAUGUUCACAGCUUUGACACAUUAAGGAAUCCGUUUGUUUUACUGACGCCAUGCGUGCCGAAAGUGCUGUUCAAAAUUAAUGAACUAGUAGAGUAGCUACGGAUCACAUUUAAAACAAAAUUGUUAUAGGCGCGCAUUAAUUGUUUCGUGUCUUAACAACUUACAGUGAGACUACAAAAUUUCAUGUGGACUUUUUAUCAAGAUAUUUCAUAAAAGUGUUCUAUCGGUAUAGAAUCAUU